UGGGGAAUUUUCCGCAAUGGGCGAAAGCCUGAUGGAGCAAUACCGCGUGAGGGAAGAAGGCUCUUGGGUUGUAAACCUCUUUUCUCUGGGAAGAAGACCUGACGGUACCAGAGGAACAAGCAUCGGCUAACUCCGUGCCAGCAGCCGCGGUAAUACGGAGGAUGCAAGCGUUGUCCGGAAUUAUUGGGCGUAAAGCGUCCGUAGGUGGUUAUACAAGUCUGCCGUUAAAGACAGUAGCUUAACUACUGAAAGGCGGUGGAAACUGUAAGACUAGAGAACGGUAGGGGUAGAGGGAAUUCCCAGUGUAGCGGUGAAAUGCGUAGAGAUUGGGAAGAACACCAGUGGCGAAAGCGCUCUACUGGGCCUGUACUGACACUAUUGGACGAAAGCUAGGGGAGCGAAAGGGAUUAGAUACCCCUGUAGU
This 424-nucleotide ribosomal RNA is filed under the name uncultured Chroococcales cyanobacterium. RNAcentral's name for it is "bacterial SSU rRNA". It matches the Rfam family "Bacterial small subunit ribosomal RNA", at positions 355 to 794 of the family's 1533-position model. Lineage: Bacteria; Bacillati; Cyanobacteriota; Cyanophyceae; Chroococcales. The record is from RNAcentral.